CUCAUCUUUACCAUCGUGGUGGACGUCCUGGGCAACCUGCUGGUCAUCCUGUCCGUGUACAGGAAUAAGAAGCUGCGGAACGCUGAUUUCCCUGGAUGACUUUUGCAUACCCAGGGAGAAAAUGGGUAGCCCAAGAAAUGUUUGGAUCAUCGGAGAGAGAGAAUAGCUGUAGAAGACCAAAUAAUAACACGCGAAAUAAGGGUCUGAAGAAAAUUGACUGACAUAUUGAUGGCAAUGAACAUUGGUAUUUCAGACUUGAGUUACUUCAGGUAGCAAAAAUGGUAAGCCAAUUGGGGGUGGAGGGGGAAAUGUCUAGCUGAGUUGUUGAACUUGUCCACCUGAUGGACAAAAUUACAAAGCAAGAUGUACAGUUUUGAACAAAACAAUUCCUUUAGAGUAGUAAAUGGUGAUUUUGGUUAAUAAUUUGUUCAAGCUUAGGGUUCAUUUCAGAAACUUGUUGAAGUGGACCUUGUCUUUUCAGUAACCAAAAAUUAGGGGUAAGCAUUUAAAAAAAAAUUUUUUUUUUUUUUUUAGUUUGUCAAAUGAUAGUCUUUCCUUACUCUUCCUGACAGUUUUUAAUUUUCUGAACUUGCUUACCUUUUUGGCGGCAAUGCUUCUUGUCUCUUGCUGUCAUGAAACACUGUUUCUGAUUGGAAACACUUUUCUUUGCCUCUUCUAGAUUUUGGUUCACCCCUUUUCUGUUUUCUCUUCAGUUUUUUUUUCUCUUCUUAGUCUGUUGUCUCUAGUCUCUUUUCACUUCCUCUCUUCCUCCCCUGUCACCCAGUACUCUGCUACUGUUUCUUUUACUCUUAUCUCUUUGCUGUUUUUUCUUCUCCACCACCACUAUAUACGUUUCUAGAUACUAACAACAAUUUUAGUUUCUAAUGAUAGAAAUGCUACCAGCAAUAGAUAACUGAUACCAGUAGCAUGACUAACAAACCUCUCUUGGACAUUGUGGCUUGCUUUCAUAGGGGAAUAAAAAUUCUGCAAUGUCAAACCAGGUUUGCGCAUCCAGAGUGCAAUUUUGCAGUCUGAAAAAACACCUUGCACCCUUUCUGUUGGCAAUCUUUUUUUUCUUAUGCACUUGCUUCAAAACUGCCUGAAAUAUCACAUUAAUGUUCCCCUUUUGAGUAAUGUGUACCAACAUCUUCUCCAGGAGGACGUGAUUAGAAAAGGAGUUCUUUUUUGGAAUGAGACAAAUAUGUGGUGUGGUUGUUUGUUUGUUUGUUUUUUUAAUUAUUUUAUGGGUCUUUUGUAAACAAAUAAACAUGUAUUUUAAUAUGUAUGUAAAUUAAUGCUUGAGCCUUUAUUAUAUAAAUACUACCAAGAGAGAAAUACCCUUCCAGCAGGGUAGCCCUUCCAAAGUCCACCAGCAUUGGGGGCAAUGAUUGAGCUGAAUAGGGUUGUAAAGGUGUAUCUUUCAUGCUGAAAUGAGUCUCACCAUUCUUUCGACCCAUGUCAUUUUAAGGAUGGAAAAUACAAUGAAACAAAUGAAAUAAGAAUCCUAUGGUAUGCCAGAGAACAGAUUUGUCAACCCUGUGGGUAUGCUGAAAACCCCAUCUUCCUCUCCUAUGUUAAGCUUUUGAGGAGGGUGUGGGUUGGAAAAAAAUAUAUUUGGGGCAAUCUUUGGUUUAUGUUGUGAUUUGUAACUUAUGGAAAGGGUUACUUAGAGCACUGGAUGGACACCUUUCGUUGUUCAGUAAUAUGUUCAGUAAUAAAUAAUACAAAAGGUCUAAGUUCAGUAUUUUUUUAAAAAGUGCAAAGUCAUGUCAAUUUCCAUUUAAAGGCAGUUUUGCACCAGAAAUGUCUUCAACCAACUCACCCCAAUAGCUAGAGGACCGAAACAACAACAAAAAAAUCAUACCUGAAUAUCACUGCUUCUGAUUCCACACUCUUUCAGGCAGGGUUAGCACCUGCUCAGGUACUCUGUUCUUGAUUCUUCUGUGCCUAUUGCCUUGUCUGGCAUACCUUGUAAAGCCACAGUUACAGAAAUAUGGAGAUAUGCAUUACUUUGUUUGCAUACUGCUAUCUUCUUUUCCCUCCAGCCCCAAAGAUUUCCCAUCAUCCUCCCUUUCUCUGUCUCCCUCCGCUUCCCCUCUUCAAGUUUCUUCUUCCCCAACACCCAUGGCUUGUUUUUCCCCAUUGAGACUCUCCUGUUUCCCUCCAUAACAUACUGAAUAUAUAGACUCUUUCUAAGGCAUGGUCCCUAACCUACACAUGAUUACAGAGAGGUGACGUUAGUAAUUACUUCACACUAUGCAGUGCUACAGCUAUGUGAUUAGAUUAGGGACUGUCAAGGCUGUAUCCCCACCUUGAACUUUAGGGUACAAAUGUAGGGGCCUGCAUGAAAACUUCUAAGCUUAACUACCAGCUUAGCUCUGGUCCCGCUGCCACCAUUCCCAAUGGAUUCCCUCCCUGGGAAGCCUUGAGAAACCUUUCACCAAUUCCCUGGUGAAUAAAGUUCCAACCCCCCUGGGAUCUAA
Molecule: RNA transcript, 2483 nt
Organism: Malaclemys terrapin pileata
Lineage: Eukaryota; Metazoa; Chordata; Testudines; Emydidae
Gene: MTNR1A
Gene name: melatonin receptor 1A
Exons: 2
Source: RefSeq, a predicted model, not a curated record